AAAGUACUCCCUCCGUCCCAAAAUUCUUAUCUUAGAUUUGUCUAGAUAUGGAUGUACACAUUUUAGUAUUAGAUACAUCCAUAUAUAGACAAAUCUAACACAAGAAUUUUGGGACAGAGGGAGUAGUUG
Non-coding RNA from Triticum aestivum (bread wheat), 129 nucleotides. The record is from Rfam. Lineage: Eukaryota; Viridiplantae; Streptophyta; Magnoliopsida; Poales; Poaceae.